UAAGGAAUAUUGCUCAAUGGGAGAAAUCCUGAAGCAGCAACGCCGCGUGGAGGAUGAAGGGUCUAUGACUUGUAAACUCCUGUAAAGAAGGAAAAAAUUCCCAUUAGAUGGGAGAUGAUGGUACUUCUGGAGUAAGCCCCGGCUAACUACGUGCCAGCAGCCGCGGUAAUCCGUAGGGGGCAAGCGUUGUCCGGAUUUACUGGGUGUAAAGGGUGCUCAGGCGGAUUUGUAAGUCAGAGGUGAAAUCUUACAGCUUAACUGUGAAACUGCCUUUGAUACUGCAAGCCUAGAGUAUGGAAGAGAGUGAUGGAAUAUCUGGUGUAGCAGUGAAAUGCGUAGAUAUCAGAUAGAACACCAAUGGCGAAGGCAGUCACUUGGUCCAUUACUGACGCUAAAGCACGAAAGCGUGGGUAGCAAACA
Molecule: ribosomal RNA, 420 nt
Filed under: uncultured bacterium
Lineage: Bacteria
Description: bacterial SSU rRNA
Rfam family: Bacterial small subunit ribosomal RNA
Source: RNAcentral